CCAUGGGUUGUUAAAGCUAGUAUGGCACCAAUAAAAUGUGAAGAGAGGAAUACACAAGUAAAGCACAGAGGUCUAGUGUGGCUGCAUCAGAAAACCUGAAUGGGUGCUGCUGUGCACGUGGUGCUGUGCAGAGUUAACUGCUGGAUUGUGCCCAGGGAGCCAGCCACUGAAGAGAGCACUGCCACAGAUUGUAACCUUCCUUCAGCAGAGGGACCCUUAUCUCUGAGGGAUGAAAUAUCAGUUGAUCUCCUUGCAGGAAUUACAUGCUCUGUCUUUCCAUUAAGUGAACCCAAUUAUGACUUCUACUUUGUGAAUGACCUUCUAACAUGGAAACAGCAUAUGGGAAGCAAACUGAAUAAAAAGACUUAUCUUCAAUAAAUGCUAAUAAAAGAAAAACACUCCAAUCGCUUUAGUCA
This 416-nucleotide long non-coding RNA is filed under the name Serinus canaria (Common canary). RNAcentral's name for it is "lncRNA (ENSSCAG00000003571.1)". The record is from RNAcentral. Lineage: Eukaryota; Metazoa; Chordata; Aves; Passeriformes; Fringillidae.